This 330-nucleotide ribosomal RNA is filed under the name Triticum aestivum (bread wheat). Its description in RNAcentral is "partial small subunit ribosomal RNA". Lineage: Eukaryota; Viridiplantae; Streptophyta; Magnoliopsida; Poales; Poaceae. The record is from RNAcentral.
AUGGAGAUAGAGUUCGAUUGCCCACAAGUAAAGAAUAUGAAAGUUGAGAUGACACGGCUGUCACGCAAUAUUGAUGACAGGGACAGCCAGAUCAGGUGCCUAAAGGCAAAGCUAAAGAAGAAGGAUGGGCAGGAAGCCGAGGACCUCACCCAGAUUUCUUUGAUGGCGUCUGAUGCGGUCCGGACCAUAGGCAUCUAUCCAUAUGAUGCGGAGUCUGACUGCUCUGAGUUUGAUGAGUUCCAAGGUUUCUAUCCUUCUGAUGACGCCGAGGAAAACCGUCGUGGAAGCUUCCUUGAUGACGAAGACUUCCUCUUCGACGAGAAUGACUGA